UGGUUUGGUAGAUCCAACAGAGAGAGUUUGGAGCUUGGUCCCCAAAUCCUGUACUUCUGAUUUCAGGAAAGCAGCUGGUCCAUCAAUGCCUGCAGGCCAAAAUGAAAAAAAAUUCCAAAGUCUAUUUUUUUAUGGCCAAAGAUACAUCCCAGGAUGGCGGCUCUUUUCAUCUUCCCUUCCUCUAGCAUCUCUUUAAAGUACUGAAAUAUACUUGUUCAAUUUUUUUCAGAAGGCUUGGGAGGAGCCAGGUCUGACUCUGGUACAGACUGCCUAUUACUUUAAACAUAUCAGUUAUCAGUUUCUCCCCAUUUAAAUAUAGUGAUUUUAUUUACCUUUUUACAAGGGCUUAAGCAAUUACAACAAGUUGUAUUUGUCAUGCACAUUGAUAGUUUUUAAUUUAUUUACUGACACCUCCCUUAUUUUCUUUCCAUUCUUGUUGUUUGCUCCUAUGCCAGUGAGUACUCUACAGUGAACACCAAAAAUCAACUUGAUAAAAGUAUCCACAGCCACAGACAGAAAAAAACCCUCUAUCUGUUAGAAUGAAAUUUCCAUGUUUAAACCAUACAACACAGCUGUGUACCACACUUCCCAAUUGGUGGAAGCAUCUUGAUGUCAGGGUAUGGCAUAACACGUAAUAUGUAGCACACAAUGCCUAAGUGUAGUUCCAGCUUUGGAUCUCUUGUUUUCCUUCUUAAAACUGUACUUCUUUAUCUAGGCAUUGUAUUUCUGACAUGCUUACUGCUGUUAUCACUUCUUACCAGGACUUGCUUGCACUGAGGAAGCCUCAGAACUAUGAAAGGUAGUGAAUGAGCAGUUUUGUUUUCAUUUGAGCUAUACUGAAGACUUCUACCUUAAAAGUUAUACCUAUCUCUCAUUCUCUUAUUGACUUGAAAGGGCCUUUUAAUAGAAGCUUUCUUAUACCUUAUUUUAAACACAUAAAUGCUACCAUAAACAUCACCACUUUCCUUCCCAUCCUAUGAUCCUGAAAGGUAUCUGGAGAACAAGAAAAAUAUUCAAGACAGAAGGGAUAACAUAGUUCCAACUGCGAUCUUCAAACCAGCUUUAGAAGAUUUUUUUACUUUGGAUUUGUAUGUCCUCACCUUUAUAGAAGUUGCCAGCCCAUUUCUACAGUUCUUCUAGCCUAACCCAAGGGAGACAUUACUCAAGGGCAUGUGAAGAUUUACAGCUAUCACAAAAAUCAAGAUGUUCAAUUAACUACAGUUAAUACCUGAGAGAAUCUGUGUUUGCAACACCUGACAUUAACUCCUAAAGGU
This is a long non-coding RNA of Passer domesticus (house sparrow), 1274 nucleotides long. RefSeq lists it as uncharacterized. The transcript is spliced from 3 exons. The record is from RefSeq and is a predicted model, not a curated record. NCBI's taxonomy places the organism in Eukaryota, Metazoa, Chordata, Aves, Passeriformes, Passeridae.